CCUACGUGGCGCAGCAGUGGGGAAUAUUGGACAAUGGGCGAAAGCCUGAUCCAGCCAUGCCGCGUGUGUGAAGAAGGCCUUCGGGUUGUAAAGCACUUUCAGUGGGGAAGAAAGCCUUGGGGCUAAUACCCUCGAGGAAGGACAUCACCCACAGAAGAAGCACCGGCUAACUCCGUGCCAGCAGCCGCGGUAAUACGGAGGGUGCGAGCGUUAAUCGGAAUUACUGGGCGUAAAGCGCGCGUAGGCGGUCUGAUAAGCCGGUUGUGAAAGCCCCGGGCUCAACCUGGGAACGGCAUCCGGAACUGUCAGGCUAGAGUGCAGGAGAGGAAGGUAGAAUUCCCGGUGUAGCGGUGAAAUGCGUAGAGAUCGGGAGGAAUACCAGUGGCGAAGGCGGCCUUCUGGACUGACACUGACGCUGAGGUGCGAAAGCGUGGGUAGCAAACAGGAUUAGAUACCCCUGUAGUUC
This 466-nucleotide ribosomal RNA is filed under the name Vreelandella stevensii. RNAcentral describes it as "partial 16S ribosomal RNA". It matches the Rfam family "Bacterial small subunit ribosomal RNA", at positions 338 to 796 of the family's 1533-position model. The record is from RNAcentral. Lineage: Bacteria; Pseudomonadati; Pseudomonadota; Gammaproteobacteria; Oceanospirillales; Halomonadaceae.